Molecule: ribosomal RNA, 257 nt
Filed under: uncultured archaeon
Lineage: Archaea
Description: partial 16S ribosomal RNA
Rfam family: Bacterial small subunit ribosomal RNA
Source: RNAcentral
UAAGACGAACCGUGCGAACGUUAUUCGGAAUCACUGGGCUUAAAGCGCGUGUAGGCGGUCCGGCACGUCUGUCGCUGAAAGCCCCCGGCUCAACCGGGGAACGGGCGCGGAUACGACCGGACUGGAGGGGGGUAGGGGGAGCCGGAACUUCCGGUGGAGCGGUGAAAUGCGUUGAGAUCGGAAGGAACGCCCGUGGCGAAAGCGGGCUCCUGGACCCCACCUGACGCUGAGACGCGAAAGCCAGGGGAGCAAACGGG